RNAcentral lists this ribosomal RNA (3287 nucleotides) under bacterium BMS3Abin02. RNAcentral's name for it is "bacterial LSU rRNA". It matches the Rfam family "Bacterial large subunit ribosomal RNA", at positions 4 to 2630 of the family's 2925-position model. The record is from RNAcentral. RNAcentral also lists the same sequence under 1 other name.
CAAGCUACUAAGGGUCUACGAUGGAUGCCUUGGCGCUAGGAGCCGAAGAAGGACGCGGCAGGCUGCGAAAAGCCCCGGGGAGCUGUCAAGCGAGCUUCGAUCCGGGGAUGUCCGAAUGGGGAAACCCGACUGGGGUAAUGCCUGGUCACUCCGGUCUGAAUAUAUAGGGCCGAGAGAGGGAACCGGGGGAAUUGAAACAUCUCAGUACCCCGAGGAACGGAAAGCAAGAGCGACUUCCCGAGUAGCGGCGAGCGAAAGGGAAUGAGCCUAAACCGGUGUGGUGGAAUAGCCCGGUGGCGUUGCCAUACCGAGGUCGUGGGACCUACCCGACGGGACACCGGACCCGUCAAGGAGUUACAAAAUCGAGCGUUAGCUGAACCUGUCUGGAACGACAGGCCGCAGAAGGUAACAGCCCUGUAGGCGAAGGCGUAUCGAUCUCCUGGUGGAGUUCCCAAGUAGCACGGGGGAUAUCCCGUGUGAAUCUGCGAGGACCACCUCGUAAGGCUAAGUACUUCCUAGCGACCGAUAGUGAACUAGUACCGUGAGGGAAAGGUGAAAAGCACCCCGGUGAGGGGAGUGAAAGAGAACCUGAAAUCGUGGACCUACAAGCAGUGGGAGGGGAUCUUUGAUCCCUGACCGCCUGCCUUUUGAAGAAUGAGCCGGCGAGUCAGCAGUACGUGGCAAGGUUAAGGCGUGUGCCGAAGCCGCAGCGAAAGCGAGUCUGAAUAGGGCGUCGAGUCGCGUGCUCUGGACCCGAAUCCGAGUGAUCUAUCCAUGGGCAGGGUGAAGCGAGGGUAAGACCUCGUGGAGGCCCGAACCCACCAAGGUUGAAAACUUGGGGGAUGACCUGUGGAUAGGGGUGAAAGGCCAAGCAAACUCGGUGAUAGCUGGUUCUCCCCGAAAUAGCUUUAGGGCUAGCGUUGUAUGUUUCGCCAUGGGGGUAGAGCACUGAUUGGGCUAGGGGGCCAACAAGCUUACCGAUCCCAGUCAAACUCCGAAUCUCAUGGCUUUAGAAUACAGCAGUCAGACUGCGGGGGAUGAGCUUCGUAGUCGAAAGGGAAACAGCCCAGACCGCCAGCUAAGGCCCCUAAAUCCGAACUUAGUGGGAAACGAUGUGGAGUCGCCCAAACAGCCAGGAGGUUGGCUUAGAAGCAGCCAUCCUUGAAAGAGUGCGUAACAGCUCACUGGUCGAGUGAUUCUGCGCGGAAAAUGUAACGGGGCUCAAGUUCGGUGCCGAAGCUGCGGGAUUCUGUCAUGAGCUCGACCUGUACCCCAAGGGGUGCGGGUCCAGGCGACAGGAUCGGUAGGGGAGCGUCGAGCAGCCCUCGAAGCGGCGGCGUGAGCCAGCCGUGGAGGCUGCCCGAGUGCGAAUGCCGGCAUGAGUAGCGAAAGAGGAGUGAGAAUCUCCUCCGCCGAAUGUCCAAGGGUUCCUGGGGAAGGUUCGUCCGCCCAGGGUUAGUCGGGACCUAAGGUGAGGCCGAAAGGCGUAAUCGAUGGAGAACGGGUUGAUAUUCCCGUACCGCCUCGCGUGCGAUCCGGCCAAACCCAGUGUGCUAAGGAAAGCCCUUCGGGGCCUACCGACCCCGCUGGUAGUAGGCGAACAAUGGGGUGACGCGGAAGGGUAAGCGGACCCGGGCGUUGGUUGACCCGGGGUAAGUGUGUAGGGAGAGGUCCAGGCAAAUCCGGACCUCGUGAUUCCCGAGGCACGAUGCCGAGCCGAUUCAGGCGAAGCCGCUGAACGCCCAAGCCGCCAAGAAAAACCUCUAGUGAGUGCGCAGGCGCCCGUACCCCAAACCGACACAGGUGGACAGGUAGAGAAUACCAAGGCGAGCGAGAGAACCCUGGUUAAGGAACUCGGCAAAUUGGCCCCGUAACUUCGGGAGAAGGGGCGCCCCGGUAAGGUGUAGGACUUGCGUCCGAAGCCUGAGGGGGCCGCAGAAACCAGGCCCAAGCGACUGUUUACUAAAAACACAGGAGCGUGCUAAGUCGCAAGACGACGUAUACGCUCUGACGCCUGCCCGGUGCCGGAAGGUCAAGCGGAGGGGUUAGCCGUAAGGCGAAGCUCUGAAGUCAAGCCCCGGUAAACGGCGGCCGUAACUAUAACGGUCCUAAGGUAGAAGCACUCUUCGUGCAAGAGUGUCUGCCCUCCGCGAUGGCGACAUCGCGGGUUGCAGCUGGCUAUAUGCUGGAAACCCCGUGUAUCCGACAGUACUCAUUCACGUCACACCCUCUCCGGAGGGCGGAGACAUGGAUAGUGAAAAUCUGAUCGGUGCGGACAAUCAGCAGGAAAGGUCAGGAAUUGAGCAGUGGGUCGUCGGCUUUGUCGACGGCGAGGGCUGUGUCCGAUCUGCAAAGAUCGCGGACAGCCGACAUGACAAACCCAUCGAGUGAAACUCGUGCGCUUCUUCGUGAAGCAACCGAGCGGACCUCCUGGAUGUCACAGCCGUUCUUCGAAGAGCACACACUGAUAACCGUCAAGCGAGCGGACUUGCAGAGGUUCGCAGCGAGCGGUCUCGAUUCCUGGAAUCCUCAGAGGCCAUACGCCAGCCAACUCGGCAUCGACUGUCGAGUCGAAGAUAUGGUCCUAUCCUCAUGGCGACAUGGGGGCACAAUAGAGCGAAAUUCCUUGUCGGGUAAGUUCCGACCUGCACGAAUGGCGUAACGACUUGGGCACUGUCUCAACCAGGGACUCGGCGAAAUUGCAUUGUGAGUAAAGAUGCUCACUACCCGCGACAGGACGGAAAGACCCCGGAACCUUUACUGCAACUUGGCAUUGGAGUCUGGUAUACGAUGUGUAGGAUAGGUGGGAGACUUGGAAGCGUCGGCGUCAGCCGGCGUGGAGUCGCCCUUGAAAUACCACCCUUCGUAUAGCGGGCUUCUAACCUCGAUCCGUUAUCCGGAUCAGGGACAGUGCCUGGUGGGCAGUUUCACUGGGGCGGUGGCCUCCUAAAGAGUAACGGAGGCGCCCAAAGGUUCCCUCAGCCUGGUCGGCAAUCAGGCGUUGAGUGUAAAGGCACAAGGGAGCUUGACUGUGAGACCUACAAGUCGAGCAGGGACGAAAGUCGGGCUUAAUGAUCCCAUGGUGGCAUGUGGAAGCGCCAUGGCUCAUCGGCUAAAAGGUACUCCGGGGAUAACAGGCUUAUCGCGCCCAAGAGUCCAUAUCGACGGCGCGGUUUGGCACCUCGAUGUCGGCUCGUCGCAUCCUGGGGCUGGAGCAGGUCCCAAGGGUCGGGCUGUUCGCCCGUUAAAGCGGCACGCGAGCUGGGUUUAGAACGUCGUGAGACAGU